UACGUAGGGGGCAAGCGUUAUCCGGAAUUAUUGGGCGUAAAGGGCGCGUAGGCGGCUACACAAGUGGCGGGUGAAAUCCCUCGGCUUAACCGAGGAACUGCCUGCCAGACUGUGUGGCUUGAGACCGGGAGAGGUGAGUGGAAUUCCCAGUGUAGCGGUGAAAUGCGUAGAUAUUGGGAGGAACACCAGUGGCGAAGGCGGCUCACUGGACCGGAACUGACGCUGAGGCGCGAAAGCGUGGGGAGCAAACAGG
This 253-nucleotide ribosomal RNA is filed under the name uncultured bacterium. RNAcentral describes it as "partial 16S ribosomal RNA". It matches the Rfam family "Bacterial small subunit ribosomal RNA", at positions 524 to 776 of the family's 1533-position model. The record is from RNAcentral.